CGCGGUAAAUUGACCGUGCAAAGGUAGCAUAAUCAUUAGUCUUUUAAUAGAAGUCUGGUAUGAAAGGUUUAACGAAACAUAAACUGUCUUAAAUUAUAUAAAUUGAAUUUAACCUUCAAGUUAAAAGGCUUGAAUUAUACUGAUGGACGAGAAGACCCUAUAGAGUUUUAUGUAGUUAAUUGUGAUUAUCUAGUUGAUUAAAAAUAGAUAUUAUUUUUGGCUGUAUUUGGUUGGGGUGACUAUGAAUAUAUAAUUAACUUUUUUAUUAAAUGAACAUUAAUUUAUGAUUAUUUGAUCCAUUAUUGUUGAUUAUUAGAUCAAAUUACCUUAGGGAUAACAGCGUAAUCUUCUUUCAGAGUUCAAAUUUACAAGAAGGCUUGCGACCUCGAUGUUGGAUUAAGAUAAUUAUUAAGUGCAGUAGCUUAACUAAUAGGUCUGUUCGAC
Molecule: ribosomal RNA, 444 nt
Filed under: Mecistogaster jocaste
Lineage: Eukaryota; Metazoa; Arthropoda; Insecta; Odonata; Coenagrionidae
Description: partial 16S ribosomal RNA
Rfam family: Archaeal large subunit ribosomal RNA
Source: RNAcentral